This 29-nucleotide non-coding RNA is filed under the name Mus musculus (house mouse). Lineage: Eukaryota; Metazoa; Chordata; Mammalia; Rodentia; Muridae. The record is from RNAcentral.
UAUGGUUACAGUUGUGUGCCUGGAUCUUC